UACGUAGGCGGAAAAUUAAGUCAGUAGUGAAAUCCUGCAGCUUAACUGUAGAACUGUUAUUGAUACUGAUCUUCUUGAGUACAGUUGAGGUAGGCGGAAUGUGUAAUGUAGCGGUGAAAUGCUUAGAUAUUACACAGAACACCGAUUGCGUAGGCAGCUUACUAAACUGUUACUGACGCUGAGGCACGAAAGCGUGGGGAGCGAACAGGAUUAGAUACCCUGGUAGUCC
RNAcentral lists this ribosomal RNA (229 nucleotides) under uncultured bacterium. RNAcentral's name for it is "partial 16S ribosomal RNA". It matches the Rfam family "Bacterial small subunit ribosomal RNA", at positions 568 to 796 of the family's 1533-position model. The record is from RNAcentral.